RNAcentral lists this ribosomal RNA (489 nucleotides) under uncultured bacterium. RNAcentral's name for it is "partial 16S ribosomal RNA". It matches the Rfam family "Bacterial small subunit ribosomal RNA", at positions 28 to 506 of the family's 1533-position model. The record is from RNAcentral.
GAUGAACGCUAGCUACAGGCUUAACACAUGCAAGUCGCGGGGCAGCAUGGGGGUUGCUUGCAAUCCCCGAUGGCGACCGGCGCACGGGUGAGUAACGCGUAUCCAACCUGCCCUUCACCACGGGAUAACCCGGCGAAAGUCGGACUAAUACCGUAUGUUGUCCAUUGACGGCAUCCGAUUUGGACGAAAGGUUUGGCGGUGAAGGAUGGGGAUGCGUCCGAUUAGCUGGACGGCGGGGUGACGGCCCACCGUGGCGACGAUCGGUAGGGGUUCUGAGAGGAAGGUCCCCCACACUGGAACUGAGACACGGUCCAGACUCCUACGGGAGGCAGCAGUGAGGAAUAUUGGUCAAUGGGCGUAAGCCUGAACCAGCCAAGUAGCGUGCAGGAUGACGGCCCUAUGGGUUGUAAACUGCUUUUAUGCGGGGAUAAAGUGGCCCACGUGUGGGUUUUUGCAGGUACCGCAUGAAUAAAGACCGGCUAAUUCCGU